Molecule: transfer RNA, 76 nt
Filed under: Bacteroidaceae bacterium
Lineage: Bacteria; Pseudomonadati; Bacteroidota; Bacteroidia; Bacteroidales; Bacteroidaceae
Description: tRNA-Thr
Rfam family: tRNA
About the family: Transfer RNA (tRNA) molecules are approximately 80 nucleotides in length. Their secondary structure includes four short double-helical elements and three loops (D, anti-codon, and T loops). Further hydrogen bonds mediate the characteristic L-shaped molecular structure. tRNAs have two regions of fundamental functional importance: the anti-codon, which is responsible for specific mRNA codon recognition, and the 3' end, to which the tRNAs corresponding amino acid is attached (by aminoacyl-tRNA synthetases). tRNAs cope with the degeneracy of the genetic code in two manners: having more than one tRNA (with a specific anti-codon) for a particular amino acid; and 'wobble' base-pairing, i.e. permitting non-standard base-pairing at the 3rd anti-codon position.
Source: RNAcentral
GCCGAAUUGGCUCAGUUGGUAGAGCAACGCAUUCGUAAUGCGUGGGUCGGGGGUUCGAGUCCCCCAUUCGGCUCCA